AGGACGAACGCUGGCGGCGUGCUUAACACAUGCAAGUCGAACGAGAAUCCGUGGAAAGAGUUUUCGGACGAAUGGGAAGCGGAGGAAAGUGGCGGACGGGUGAGUAACGCGUGAGGAACCUGGCCUUUGGGAGAGGGGGACAACAGCUGGAAACGGCUGCUAAUACCGCAUGACGCAUUGGAGUCGCAUGGCUCUGAUGCCAAAGAUUUAUCGCUCUGAGAUGGCCUCGCGUCUGAUUAGCUGGUUGGUGGGGUAACGGCUCACCAAGGCGACGAUCAGUAGCCGGACUGAGAGGUUGAACGGCCACAUUGGGACUGAGAUACGGCCCAGACUCCUACGGGAGGCAGCAGUGGGGAAUAUUGGGCAAUGGGCGCAAGCCUGACCCAGCAACGCCGCGUGAAGGAAGAAGGCUUUCGGGUUGUAAACUUCUUUUAAGGGGGAAGAGCAGAAGACGGUACCUCUAGAAUAAGCCACGGCUAACUACGUGCC
RNAcentral lists this ribosomal RNA (489 nucleotides) under uncultured bacterium. Its description in RNAcentral is "bacterial SSU rRNA". It matches the Rfam family "Bacterial small subunit ribosomal RNA", at positions 26 to 509 of the family's 1533-position model. The record is from RNAcentral.